Molecule: transfer RNA, 73 nt
Filed under: Capra hircus (goat)
Lineage: Eukaryota; Metazoa; Chordata; Mammalia; Artiodactyla; Bovidae
Also listed under: 1 other name
Rfam family: tRNA
About the family: Transfer RNA (tRNA) molecules are approximately 80 nucleotides in length. Their secondary structure includes four short double-helical elements and three loops (D, anti-codon, and T loops).
Source: Rfam by way of RNAcentral
UCUCUGGUGGUCCAGAGGCUAAGACUCUGCACUCCCAAUGCAGGGCACCCGGGUUCAAUCCCUGGUCAGGGAA